UGGGGAAUAUUGCACAAUGGGGGAAACCCUGAUGCAGCGACGCCGCGUGAGCGAAGAAGGCUUUCGAGUCGUAAAGCUCUGUCCUAUGAGAAGAUAAUGACGGUAUCAUAGGAGGAAGCCCUGGCUAAAUACGUGCCAGCAGCCGCGGUAAUACGUAUGGGGCGAGCGUUGUCCGGAAUUAUUGGGCGUAAAGGGUACGUAGGCGGUUUUUUAAGUCAGGUGUCAAAGCGUGGGGCUUAACUCCAUUAAGCACUUGAAACUGAUAGACUUGAGUGAAGGAGAGGAAAGUGGAAUUCCUAGUGUAGCGGUGAAAUGCGUAGAUAUUAGGAGGAAUACCGGUGGCGAAGGCGACUUUCUGGACUUUUACUGACGCUCAGGUACGAAAGCGUGGGGAGCAAACAGG
Molecule: ribosomal RNA, 403 nt
Filed under: Verrucomicrobiota bacterium
Lineage: Bacteria; Pseudomonadati; Verrucomicrobiota
Description: Verrucomicrobia bacterium partial 16S ribosomal RNA
Rfam family: Bacterial small subunit ribosomal RNA
Source: RNAcentral